GACGAACGCUGGCGGCGUGCUUAACACAUGCAAGUCGAACGGUCCUGUUUUUGAAGCGCUUCGGCGUGGAGGGAGCGGGUUAGUGGCGCACGGGUGAGUAAUGCGCGAGGACCUGCCCGCGGGAGGGGGACAGCAGUUGGAAACGGCUGGUGAUACCCCGUAAGCCGGGAGGUAAAAGGGCGGAGACGCCCGCCUGCGGAUGGACUCGCGUCCUAUCAGCUAGUUGGUGAGGCAACGGCUCACCAAGGCGACGACGGGUAGCCGGCCUGAGAGGGUGUCCGGCCACACUGGAACUGAGACACGGUCCAGACUCCUACGGGAGGCAGCAGUGGGGAAUUUUGGGCAAUGGGGGAGACCCUGACCCAGCGACGCCGCGUGAGGGACGAAGGCCUUCGGGUCGUAAACUCCUGUCAGAGGUGAAGAAUACCCGCAAGGGUUGACGGUAACCUCAGAGGAAGCCCGGCUAACUACGUG
Molecule: ribosomal RNA, 474 nt
Filed under: uncultured bacterium
Lineage: Bacteria
Description: bacterial SSU rRNA
Rfam family: Bacterial small subunit ribosomal RNA
Source: RNAcentral